The sequence is a transfer RNA, 74 nucleotides long. It matches the Rfam family "tRNA". From Rfam's summary of the family: Transfer RNA (tRNA) molecules are approximately 80 nucleotides in length. Their secondary structure includes four short double-helical elements and three loops (D, anti-codon, and T loops). The record is from Rfam.
GCCAAACUAGCUCAGCUGGAUAGAGCAACGGUUUUGUAAACCGUAGGUCAACGGUUCAAGUCCGUUGUUUGGCU